This 342-nucleotide long non-coding RNA is filed under the name Helianthus annuus (common sunflower). RNAcentral describes it as "sRNA HanXRQr2_Chr10g0463621". Lineage: Eukaryota; Viridiplantae; Streptophyta; Magnoliopsida; Asterales; Asteraceae. The record is from RNAcentral.
ACCAUCAAAACACUACAACUUCUACACACUCUCUCUCUAAAAUCGUUUGAACCAAACACACCACCAUCUUCACAUUUUCAAAAUUCAAACACUAGAGAUUAUUGCAAGUAUGGAGGUCCAUGGAUGAAUCAAACUACUAGGGUGUUUAGAAAAGCUAGUUGGAGCCCUUUUGGUGGAACUUGAAGCUUAAAAUCAUCAAGAUUUCUUAUCAUCAUCUUUGUUUUCUUGGAAAAAUUAUAUUGAUACUUGAUGAUGUCGAGAAACGAACCGCGAACAAGGAAUCGAAUAGAGAUUUGCACGGAACGCAAAUCUGUGAGUUCAUGUUUUCCCCUUUUACUUUGA